GAUGAACGCUGGCGGCGUGCCUAAUACAUGCAAGUCGAGCGAACAGAUGAGGAGCUUGCUCCUCUGACGUUAGCGGCGGACGGGUGAGUAACACGUGGAUAACCUACCUAUAAGACUGGGAUAACUUCGGGAAACCGGAGCUAAUACCGGAUAAUAUAUUGAACCGCAUGGUUCAAUAGUGAAAGACGGUUUUGCUGUCACUUAUAGAUGGAUCCGCGCCGCAUUAGCUAGUUGGUAAGGUAACGGCUUACCAAGGCAACGAUGCGUAGCCGACCUGAGAGGGUGAUCGGCCACACUGGAACGGAGACAGGGUCCAGACUCCUACGGGAGGCAGCAGUAGGGAAUCUUCCGCAAUGGGCGAAAGCCUGACGGAGCAACGCCGCGUGAGUGAUGAAGGUCUUCGGAUCGUAAAACUCUGUUAUUAGGGAAGAACAAAUGUGUAAGUAACUAUGCACGUCUUGACGGUACCUAAUCAGAAAGCCACGGCUAACUACGUG
RNAcentral lists this ribosomal RNA (497 nucleotides) under uncultured bacterium. RNAcentral's name for it is "partial 16S ribosomal RNA". It matches the Rfam family "Bacterial small subunit ribosomal RNA", at positions 28 to 507 of the family's 1533-position model. The record is from RNAcentral.